UCGUAAAAAUCCAUUGUUUUAUGAACCAAAUUAUCUUGACCCAAAUUAAAAUGUUAGGCAGAACUAAUCCCACAUUAAUCAGAAACCAUCCCGCAUAAAUCAAAUAUCAAAUACACUAUAAUUACUUAUAAUCAAUUAAAAACAGUCCCAAAAGAAUAAGAACAUGGCUAAAUUGAAAAACAUACAACAGAACAAUAACACACCAUACUAAUUACAAAAACAAAUGAGAAACAUCCUAUACCAAAAACGGAAAACACCAAGGAACCUCUGAUAGACAAUGGACGGUGAUCAGGAAACUAAUAAUGAAACCCCAAUGAUAGUGGAAUAUAGUAACGCAAGGAGCAAAACAUGCAUCUAAAAACAACCUUCCAAUUGGACAUUUCCUAACUUGAGAACAUAACCAUUAGUUGAUCACCGUAAACUGUAAAAACACAUCAUCAUCCAAUCAAAGCAAAAACGCGAAAAACAGAACACUAGAAACCCAAAAAACAGAACAGGAAUGUAAAAAAUGAGAAGACAUACCAAAGACCACUCUUUCCAUUCAAAUCGACAAACGAUCUCCUCCUUCUUCGUUCCUACGUCUUCG
This 586-nucleotide long non-coding RNA is filed under the name Zostera marina. RNAcentral's name for it is "long non-coding RNA (ZMAR_LNC005722)". The record is from RNAcentral. Lineage: Eukaryota; Viridiplantae; Streptophyta; Magnoliopsida; Alismatales; Zosteraceae.